Solanum verrucosum is the source of this 618-nucleotide long non-coding RNA. RefSeq lists it as uncharacterized. Lineage: Eukaryota; Viridiplantae; Streptophyta; Magnoliopsida; Solanales; Solanaceae. The record is from RefSeq and is a predicted model, not a curated record. The transcript has 3 exons.
UUAUACAUGAGAUCUGCAAUUAUCACUGGGUAGCAUUUGAAUGAUUAUUUUAGCUUUCUGUAUUCUCUGAAAGAAACACUUUUUUUCUUUGGUCACAGUGAUUCCUUGCUUCUAUAUAUAUGCUGAGGAAGAGAAAUUUUCAAAAAAGGGUGCUUCUGUCUGUUCAAAAAACAUCUCAUCUCCAAUCAAGGACCAUGAAAGUGAUCCUGAUACUACAGAAGAAACAUGGGAGGUGGAAGAUUAUGAGUACGAUAGGGCAUUGAAUGCUGACAGGGUUUACCUUAAGUUCAAAAAGCGAGUAGAUGCAUAUCCAGAACAGUGUUUCAGAUACUCAUAUGGUGGAAAGCCGCUUUUGGCUUCUGGAGAUGCUGGUGAUGUAGGAAUGUGCAGGCUUGUGGUGCAGCACGUCAAUAUGAAAUGCAGCUGAUGCCCCCAUUGCUAUAUUUUCUGCAGGAAGCCGUGAGCGAGAAAGGAAAACAUGCCUUGGAUAACUGGAAUUGGAUAACUUUAAUAGUCUAUACUUGCUCACAGAACUGUUCAAACGAUAACUCUAGCGAUGAUGUCUGGACUGUGGCUGAGGAAGCUGUUGUCGUACAAUAUGAAUAGCAUCGAUUAAGU